UACGUAGGGUGCGAGCGUUAAUCGGAAUUACUGGGCGUAAAGGGCGCGUAGGCGGCCUGCUAAGUCGAACGUGAAAUCCCCGGGCUCAACCCGGGAACUGCGUCCGAUACUGGCAGGCUUGAAUCCGGGAGAGGGAUGUGGAAUUCCAGGUGUAGCGGUGAAAUGCGUAGAUAUCUGGAGGAACACCGGUGGCGAAGGCGGCAUCCUGGACCGGCAUUGACGCUGAGGCGCGAAAGCCAGGGGAGCAAACGGG
This 253-nucleotide ribosomal RNA is filed under the name uncultured bacterium. Its description in RNAcentral is "partial 16S ribosomal RNA". It matches the Rfam family "Bacterial small subunit ribosomal RNA", at positions 524 to 776 of the family's 1533-position model. The record is from RNAcentral.